GGAAAAGGCGCAGUCUCGGUGGGAUUGCGUGCAGGAGGGUCGCGGUCUGGCUGUGGCGGAGGAGCAUAAGAAGGGCUGCAAGUGGAAUUCAUCAACCCCAUCUUCGAGUUCUCCAGGGCCAUGAAUGAGCUGCAACUCAAUGAUGCCGAGUUUGCCUUGCUCAUUGCUAUCAGCAUCUUCUCUGCAGACCGGCCCAACGUGCAGGACCAGCUCCAGGUAGAGAGGCUGCAGCACACAUAUGUGGAAGCCCUGCAUGCCUACGUCUCCAUCCACCAUCCCCAUGACCGACUGAUGUUCCCACGGAUGCUAAUGAAACUGGUGAGCCUCCGGACCCUGAGCAGCGUCCACUCAGAGCAAGUGUUUGCACUGCGUCUGCAGGACAAAAAGCUCCCACCGCUGCUCUCUGAGAUCUGGGAUGUGCACGAAUGACUGUUCUGUCCCCAUAUUUUCUGUUUUCUUGGCCGGAUGGCUGAGGCCUGGUGGCUGCCUCCUAGAAGUGGAACAGACUGAGAAGGGCAAACAUUCCUGGGAGCUGGGCAAGGAGAUCCU
Molecule: small RNA, 549 nt
Filed under: Pan troglodytes (chimpanzee)
Lineage: Eukaryota; Metazoa; Chordata; Mammalia; Primates; Hominidae
Description: processed transcript
Source: RNAcentral